UACGUAGGGUGCAAGCGUUAAUCGGAAUUACUGGGCGUAAAGCGUGCGCAGGCGGUUAUGCAAGACAGAUGUGAAAUCCCCGGGCUCAACCUGGGAACUGCAUUUGUGACUGCAUGACUUGAGUACGGUAGAGGGGGAUGGAAUUCCGCGUGUAGCAGUGAAAUGCGUAGAUAUGCGGAGGAACACCGAUGGCGAAGGCAAUCCCCUGGACCUGUACUGACGCUCAGGCACGAAAGCGUGGGGAGCAAACAGG
RNAcentral lists this ribosomal RNA (253 nucleotides) under uncultured bacterium. Its description in RNAcentral is "partial 16S ribosomal RNA". It matches the Rfam family "Bacterial small subunit ribosomal RNA", at positions 524 to 776 of the family's 1533-position model. The record is from RNAcentral.